Molecule: long non-coding RNA, 1308 nt
Filed under: Fukomys damarensis (Damara mole-rat)
Lineage: Eukaryota; Metazoa; Chordata; Mammalia; Rodentia; Bathyergidae
Description: lncRNA (ENSFDAG00000027215.1)
Source: RNAcentral
CCCAUAGUCAGUAGAGCUUCUGAAUGCUGAGUGAUCUGUACACAAACACGCCUUUGCCUAUGUUACCUGGGAGGGGCCAAGUGAAGAAAUGCCGUGUUUUUCUAUAAACUUAGCUGGGGUGAUGGGUGGGAAACAGCGGUCAGCAGGAUCCCGAGGAUAAUGGGGCGGUGACAGCAACCACGCUGGAUCCUCUGCCCUCCAGCAUCCCCCACGAGGAGAAGCCAACUGGGAAGGUUCCUAUGGUUACCAGGGCAUGGCUGCUUUAGGACUUUGGUCCUGAUGUAAACUGAGUGCAUAUGAUUUUACAGCUGCCGGGGUAGACAGACUGACACCCACGGGGAAGAAUGACGGCUCCUUUAAAGACUGGAACUUCCCUCAAGCUUCUUUGGGAACCAGCUGGGCAUCAAGUGCCAGAGUGUAUCAGAUACACAAAUAAGCACUGCAUUGCUCUGAAUUUUGACUAUGAGACUUUAACUGCUGGGUGGACAGGGUGAGGCUACAUAGUACACCAAGAGAAUCCAGGUCUCUCCUAAGACCAAGCCUCCUGGACACCAUUCACCAGCAGUGGGAUCUCAGGACUGCUGAACUCUAACCAGGCUUCUCUCUGUAACUCACUGGAGACAGGUGACAGCUAGCUCACGGUCUCUGCGAAUAUUGAAUGAGAUGCGAAAGAAAGCACACUGUCUUUCUGGCAUCCCACCGUCACCACUGUUUUCAUCAGCUGCUAGUCCACCUGAUUCAUUGUGCACGGAAUUGGAAAUGUGGUCUUUAUCUGUUCACAACACUUCCCUCCUGGAAGUUCCCCCUCUAGGCAAAUGGAACCAACAAAGACAUGACAGUCCUAGUCCUUCCUCUCCUGUGGCUCUAUCCACAUUCUCGGUUUCUUUCUUCUUUCACUUCCUUGCAUAAUUCACUGCAGUCAUUCUUCCUCUUACUCACUCUGUCCCCCACAGAGGCUGAUUCUUAGGGCUAGCGGGCGGGGACAACCGAACUGGCAGGAACAUUAUCACUGAGUCAGUUUCAUGUCCUGGGAGGAUGUGCCAUGUAUGGCUCAGCUGGACCAUGACAUCUGAAAAGUCACCCAUCCUUGAGUAGGAAAAAUUUGUGAUGUUUAGCUCAUCCUAAUCAUACACCCUGAUUAUUCAGGGACCUCUCAGGAGUUGGGACGCACAGAACAUUCCAGAAAGGAAAGUCAUCUUGGUAUAUAGUUUUCACAUCAUGCCUUGCAAAUAGCCAGUUCAUUGGUCCUAAAACCAGGAUCUGAGAAUCCCUAGACAUCCCUGUUUGCCCCCUCUGGUUACCAGGAAC